RNAcentral lists this microRNA precursor (66 nucleotides) under Podarcis lilfordi (Lilford's wall lizard). Lineage: Eukaryota; Metazoa; Chordata; Lepidosauria; Squamata; Lacertidae. The record is from RNAcentral.
UGUAUAUGUAUAUGUGUGUGUGUGUAUAUCUAUAUAUGUAUAUACACACACACAUAUACAUAUAUG